Molecule: ribosomal RNA, 598 nt
Filed under: uncultured cyanobacterium
Lineage: Bacteria; Bacillati; Cyanobacteriota
Description: bacterial SSU rRNA
Rfam family: Bacterial small subunit ribosomal RNA
Source: RNAcentral
AAACCCGGAUGAGCCGAAAGGUAAAAGAUUAAUCGCCUAGAGAGGGGCUUGCGUCUGAUUAGCUAGUUGGUGAGGUAAGAGCCCACCAAGGCGACGAUCAGUAGCUGGUCUGAGAGGAUGAUCAGCCACACUGGGACUGAGACACGGCCCAGACUCCUACGGGAGGCAGCAGUGGGGAAUUUUCCGCAAUGGGCGAAAGCCUGACGGAGCAAGACCGCGUGGGGGAGGAAGGUUCUUGGAUUGUCAACCCCUUUUCUCAGGGAAGAACACAAUGAUGGUACCUGAGGAAAAAGCAUCGGCUAACUCCGUGCCAGCAGCCGCGGUAAUACGGGGGAUGCAAGCGUUAUCCGGAAUGAUUGGGCGUAAAGAGUCCGUAGGUAGUCAUCCAAGUCUGCUGUUAAAGAGCGAGGCUUAACCUCGUAAAGGCAGUGGAAACUGGAAGACUAGAGUGUAGUAGGGGCAGAGGGAAUUCCUGGUGUAGCGGUGAAAUGCGUAGAGAUCAGGAAGAACACCGGUGGCGAAGGCGCUCUGCUGGGCUAUAACUGACACUGAGGGACGAAAGCUAGGGGAGCGAAUGGGAUUAGAUACCCCAGUAGUC